Long non-coding RNA from Nicotiana tabacum (common tobacco), 2060 nucleotides. RefSeq lists it as uncharacterized. The record is from RefSeq and is a predicted model, not a curated record. Lineage: Eukaryota; Viridiplantae; Streptophyta; Magnoliopsida; Solanales; Solanaceae.
CCCAAGUUAGGCAAAGUAGUUGAAAUACUAGGGUUUACAUAAAUGGGAUACGCCGUCACACUCACGGGGAAUCAGCUCGCAUUUCUUGGUUAUGGAGUUAGACAGCUAUGACUACAGCCACUUAAUAGAGUUGGUAUUCCGAUUUUUUGAGUAACAAUGUCGAGAAAGAUGCAACUCAGAAUAUUCAAAAUUUGAAGAAGUUGGAGAUGUGUUAAAUGAUGCGUGGUGAGUCAAUUGGUGUAGAGCUCUCUCCUAGUAAAGUUUGUUGGCCUUAUUAAAUAAUACGCAUUGUAAAGAAAAUGAUUCUAAGUAACAUCCGAAACUUGAAGUGGUAGGGAAAAAGUUGUAGAUAAGUGCAAAGGUUUCCUUUAGUUCUAAAGACAAUUACUAGUUUAUUAAGUUCCGACUAAGAGGUUGAAGAGCAGACACAUUUUAAGAAGUGAAAUAUGUGGCUUACAAUUUGCUGAGAAGUGAAUGUGGAGGCUCACAUAUUUGACUUUUCAAAUCUCCAACCUCUGAUUUGGAGCUUAAUAGGCCCACAAAUGUCUUUAGAGCUAAGGUCAAACCUUUGCACUUUUCUGCAAAAAAUUUCCAACCUCUUCAAGUGCUGAAAAGUUUCUUAGAAUCCAUGUUUUCAAAUGCGCGUAUUUUUUGUAAAGACUAACAACUUUACUGGACAUAGUUCCCACACUAAUUGGCCACUACCCAUCAUCAAAACAACACUUUUCUUAUGCAAAUUGGCUCACUUUGACUCGUCAACUACAAUGGCAACCUCAUGGAAGAGUACGGAGAUUCCAAAUUUUUAAGCAGACUUCAUCGUGAAAGAUGCAACUUGAAACUGUGAGUUAUGUGCUCCUGACUAACUUUCUUGACUUUUGGAGUUCCUGCACCAUGCUUUUUAUUGUCAUUCUCCAUUACUCUCUUCUUCCUUUUCCCAAUCUCACCCCAACCAAUCUGUAAAGCCAAUUUCCUUCUCUUCCUUGCAAGAUUUCAUAGUUUGUGCAGAAAAUUCUCAUCUCCUGUAAUAUAAAAGUUUAGGUUUACUAAGAAGUUUGGGUAAGUAGUAGCUGUGGUUAAAAUUUGAUCACCUUCUACUUCGUAAAGUUACAGAAGUAAUUAGUUGAUUAUUUUGAUGUAUGCUUCUCUAGAAUUUAUAGGGUGAUAAGGAAAAUUUAGAUACUGUGAAUGUUGGAUGACAUGCUUUUCAAAGAUGGGAAGCGUUUUAGAUUUAUGGCAGGGAUUUGCAUUAUUACUACACGCCACGGUUCUGGAGUUGAUGUAGUCCGUGGCUCUCUUAUAUUUCUUUGAUACUUCAAAUUGAUGUGUAUAAUGUUGUUCCUUUGUAUUUUCAUAUGUGGAAACUAGUUCUUGUGAAAUUACAAUGAAAGGUCAUAACAAGUGAACAUUGAUUUUCUAUAUAUCAUAGACUAGUUUUUGAAGGCAUUGCAGAUAAAUUCUCUCCUACUUGUGGGAUUACACUGGUUUUGUUAUUAUUGCAGAUAAAUUCUCACUUACUGAAAGUGGACUUGUCAUCGUUUAGUGUUUCGUAGAGCUGAGUGGAUGCUGAAACUUUACUUUUAUUUUUUACCCUGUAAUUUUCUUCUGUAAUAAAAUGUUAUGUAUAUACUGAAUUUAGUAGUGGAAAGAUAGACUGCUGAGACAAAGGCAUGUUGCUUGAAUGCACAUAUCUACCAUGGAUUUGCAUAGCCCAAGAAGAAGGCUAACUGGUUUUUGGAAGACUAUACAGUAGCCUCUAAGAUAAAGCCUCCAUAGCAAAAGCUUGAUAUGUCGAGCAUCGUUUGUUGAAGAGACACAUGCAACCACAUCUUCAACAGGCAUUAACCAUCUUCUGGUACCUCGAACGUUUGAAGGUUGAAGAUAGUGUUUGUAAUAGCUUGAGAAUAAUGUAUUGUCAAGCUUGGAUUAGUCCACCAAAACUUAGACCUCUCCAAUGGUAGAUUAAUGAUUGUCUUGUUCAUCAGCUGUUACAGUUAACUUUUAUAACAAUUAAAUAUCUGAAUGUGCAUGAACCGUUGACACUUUUACUGACACCAUUUCAA